RNAcentral lists this ribosomal RNA (216 nucleotides) under Glomeromycotina sp. RNAcentral's name for it is "partial small subunit ribosomal RNA". The stretch from base 40 to 216 matches the Rfam family "Eukaryotic small subunit ribosomal RNA", at positions 686 to 864 of the family's 1831-position model. Lineage: Eukaryota; Fungi; Glomeromycota. The record is from RNAcentral.
GCGUCAGUAGGUUGGUCGUGCCACCGGUACGUACUGGUCUCACUGAUUCCUCCUUCCUGAAGAACCGUAAUGCCAUUAAUUUGGUGUUGCGGGGAAACAGGACUGUUGCUUUGAAAAAAUUAGAGUGUUUAAAGCAAGCUAACGCUUGAAUACAUUAGCAUGGAAUAAUGAAAUAGGACGAUCGAUCCUAUUUUGUUGGUUUCUAGGAUUGACGUA